UCCUCAUGAAAGAUUUGGAAGCAGAGGCGC
Molecule: non-coding RNA, 30 nt
Filed under: Rattus norvegicus (Norway rat)
Lineage: Eukaryota; Metazoa; Chordata; Mammalia; Rodentia; Muridae
Source: RNAcentral